GACGAACGCUGGCGGCGUGCUUAACACAUGCAAGUCGAACGGAAAGGCCCUGCGUUUGUGGGGUUCUCGAGUGGCGAACGGGUGAGUAACACGUGAGUAACCUGCCCUUGACUUUGGGGUAACUUCAGGAAACUGGGGCUCAUACCGCGUAGGAGCUCCUGCAGCGUGGUGGUGGUUGGAAAGUUUCGGCGGUUGGGGAUGGACUCGCGGCUUAUCGGCUUGUUUGGGAGGUAGUGGCUUACCAAGGGUUUGACGGGUAGCCGGCAUGAGAGGGUGACCGGCCACAAUGGGACUGAGAUACGGACCAGACUGCUACCGGCGGCAGUAGUGGGGAAUAUUGCGGAAUAGGCCGAAGCCUGAUGCAGCAACGCCGCGUGCGUGAUGCCGGCCUUUGGGGUGUAAACCGCUUUCGACUGUGAUGAAGCGGGCGUGACGGUAACGGGUCAAGAAGCACCGGCUAACUACGUG
This 468-nucleotide ribosomal RNA is filed under the name uncultured bacterium. RNAcentral describes it as "partial 16S ribosomal RNA". It matches the Rfam family "Bacterial small subunit ribosomal RNA", at positions 28 to 507 of the family's 1533-position model. The record is from RNAcentral.